Molecule: non-coding RNA, 115 nt
Organism: Triticum aestivum (bread wheat)
Lineage: Eukaryota; Viridiplantae; Streptophyta; Magnoliopsida; Poales; Poaceae
Source: Rfam
UAGAUACUCCCUCUGUUCGGAAUUACUUGUCACAUAAAUGGAUGUAUCUAGACGUAUUUUAGUUCUAGAUACAUCCAUUUCCAAGACAAGUAAUUCCGAACGAAGGAAGUAUAAG